GCCGCUACCUCCUACCCAUGUCUUUUGAGUACUUACGUUUCCUCGGCGGGUCCGCCCGCCGAUUGGACAAAAUUAAACCCUUUGCAGUUGCAAUCAGCGUCUGAAAAACAUAAUAGUUACAACUUUCAACAACGGAUCUCUUGGUUCUGGCAUCGAUGAAGAACGCAGCGAAAUGCGAUAAGUAGUGUGAAUUGCAGAAUUCAGUGAAUCAUCGAAUCUUUGAACGCACAUUGCGCCCCUUGGUAUUCCAUGGGGCAUGCCUGUUCGAGCGUCAUUUGUACCUUCAAGCUUUGCUUGGUGUUGGGUGUUUGUCUCGCCUUUGCGUGUAGACUCGCCUCAAAACAAUUGGCAGCCGGCGUAUUGAUUUCGGAGCGCAGUACAUCUCGCGCUUUGCACUCAUAACGACGACGUCCAAAAGUACAUCUUUACACUCUUGACCUCGGAUCAGGUAGGGAUACCCGCUGAACUUAAGCAUAUCAAUAAGCGGAGG
Molecule: ribosomal RNA, 490 nt
Filed under: uncultured fungus
Lineage: Eukaryota; Fungi
Description: eukaryotic LSU rRNA
Rfam family: 5.8S ribosomal RNA (bases 121-274)
Source: RNAcentral